This 416-nucleotide unclassified non-coding RNA is filed under the name soil metagenome. RNAcentral's name for it is "partial contains 5.8S ribosomal RNA, internal transcribed spacer 2, and large subunit ribosomal RNA". The stretch from base 1 to 120 matches the Rfam family "5.8S ribosomal RNA", at positions 35 to 154 of the family's 154-position model. The record is from RNAcentral.
GAUGAAGAACGUAGCGAAAUGCGAUAAGUAAUGUGAAUUGCAGAAUUCAGUGAAUCAUCGAAUCUUUGAACGCACCUUGCGCUCCUUGGUAUUCCAAAGAGCAUGCCUGUUUGAGUAUCAUUAAAUUAUCAACUGUACCAAUUUGGUUGCAGAUUGGAUGUGGGAGAUUUUGCAGGCUUUUGAUUUCUCUUUGAGAAAACGGUCAGCUCUCCUGAAAUAUAUUAGCAGUGCCUUUGUUGGUUCAUUAGGUGUGAUAAUUUAUCUACAUCUUCACAUGGUACCUUCAUUUGUGUAAAGGUCAUAUUGCUUCUAAUUGUCUUUGGACAUAAAAAAAAAAACAUAUAAUUGUAUGGAAAACUUGAUCUCAAAUCAGGCAGGACUACCCGCUGAACUUAAGCAUAUCAAUAAGCGGAGGA